AUUGAACGCUGGCGGCAGGCCUAACACAUGCCAAGUCGAACGGUAGCACGUAGGAGCUUGCUCCUUGGUGACGAGUGGCGGACGGGUGAGUAAUGUCUGGGAAACUGCCCGAUGGAGGGGGAUAACUACUGGAAACGGUAGCUAAUACCGCAUAACGUCGCAAGACCAAAGAGGGGGACCUUCGGGCCUCUUGCCAUCGGAUGUGCCCAGAUGGGAUUAGCUAGUAGGUGGGGUAACGGCCCACCUAGGCGACGAUCCCUAGCUGGUCUGAGAGGAUGACCAGCCACACUGGAACUGAGACACGGUCCAGACUCCUACGGGAGGCAGCAGUGGGGAAUAUUGCACAAUGGGCGCAAGCCUGAUGCAGCCAUGCCGCGUGUAUGAAGAAGGCCUUCGGGUUGUAAAGUACUUUCAGCGAGGAGGAAGGCGUUGUGGUUAA
Molecule: ribosomal RNA, 439 nt
Filed under: uncultured Enterobacterales bacterium
Lineage: Bacteria; Pseudomonadati; Pseudomonadota; Gammaproteobacteria; Enterobacterales
Description: bacterial SSU rRNA
Rfam family: Bacterial small subunit ribosomal RNA
Source: RNAcentral